UAUCUAUCUAUAGGGGAAAGCAGUAUCUCCUUAGGACUCUACUCCAGAACACGGCAUAGAGCACAACAGAAUUUUUGGGGGAAAGCAGCAUCUCCUUAGGACUCUACUCCAGAACACUUGGCGUAGAGCACGGCAGAAUUUUUGGACUCAAGAGUACAAUAAUGACCAGAAACAAUCCAUACCACACCAGAUGAUGGCUAAAGAA
Polypterus senegalus (gray bichir) is the source of this 205-nucleotide long non-coding RNA. RefSeq lists it as uncharacterized. Lineage: Eukaryota; Metazoa; Chordata; Cladistia; Polypteriformes; Polypteridae. The transcript is spliced from 3 exons. The record is from RefSeq and is a predicted model, not a curated record.